ACACGUAGGGGGCGAGCGUUGUCCGGAUUUAUUGGGCGUAAAGAGCUCGUAGGCGGCUCAGUUAGUCGGGCGUGAAACCUCCAGGCUCAACCUGGAGACGCCACCCGAUACUGCUGUGGCUAGAGUCCGGUAGGGGAGCGUGGAAUUCCUGGUGUAGCGGUGAAAUGCGCAGAUGUCAGGAGGAACACCAGCGGCGAAGGCGGCGCUCUGGGCCGGAACUGACGCUGAGGAGCGAAAGCGUGGGGAGCGAACAGGA
Molecule: ribosomal RNA, 256 nt
Filed under: uncultured prokaryote
Description: partial 16S ribosomal RNA
Rfam family: Bacterial small subunit ribosomal RNA
Source: RNAcentral